AGUUACUCUCUCCCAGUGCCACUCAAGAAUUUUCUCUCGCAGAUCGCUCAAUCCCCUUCUCCCCGUCGUGCAUCGUCGCCGUCGUCGGCUACCUUGGUCACGCAGUGUGGUUACGCCACGGUGGGUUCAUUGCCGACGGCUUUCUGUUUCGCGCACUCCUCUGUGCACCGAACUCCACGCCGACACACACUCUUUCUUUGGUUUAAACUGCGACAAACCGAGGCUCACCAGAGACAUCCUCUCACCUGCGAAGGCAUUGAAAUCAGUUCUAGACAGCGUCUUCUAGCCACCGAUUUCGAGAAUCAACCUUACGAAAUUUGGAGUUGUGACUUCUCGGUUGGGUUGAAAUGUGGACAGUGUUUGGGUUGUCAUAUUGCUAGAGUUUGAAUUCAAGGCUUAGGUAAUUCUCUGCAAGAGUCAGGAUGCCACCUUGUCGUCGUGUACAAAACCUCUCGGAUUUGAACGCAUCUAAUGAUGAAGGAGAAGCCAAUACAAGCGCUUCUAAGGUACUCCAAGUGGUAGCACAACAAUUAAUGGAAGAGAUUGCCCAAAAUCCUCCAGGUCGCAACUGCAACAGUAGUGAGGAGGGUUGUACCUUUGAACAGUUUAAUUGGAUGCACCUUCCCUCAUUUGAUAGAAGAGGCGACUCGACCCUAGCAGAGGAUUAGAUCCAGGACAUAAAGGAAAUUCUCCAAGUCCUGAAUUGCACAGACGGGCAAAAAGUGUUGUACUCCACCUUCAAGCUAAUGGGUGAAGCUAAACGUUGGUGGAUUUCAGAGAGAACCAUCAGGGAAGCUGAUGGGAGAGGAGUCGUUACGUGGCCCUAUUUCAAACAGAUCUUCUUUGAUCACUUCUUCCCAAGAUCGGUCUCAGAUGCUAAAGCCAAGGAGUUUUCCAGUUUAGAUCAGGGGACUAUGACAUUGCACCAGUAUGCUGCCAGAUUUGUAGAGCUGUCUCGCUUCGCCUCUUAUUUGAUCCCCAAUGAAGAUAAGAAGGUCUGGAAAUUUGAAGAGGGUCUGAACCACAGAAUAUAUGAACGAGUGGUGGCAUUUCAAGUUAAGAACUUCUCAGAAUUAGUGGAUAAGGUGAUGAUAAUUGAGCGGAGUCUUAAAAUAAGUAUAAAACAUCAAGAUCAGAGGAAGAGAACUACACUGCAGGGGUCCUACUCUAGCAUGGAUCAAGGGUCUUGGAAGAAGAGAAAAUAAGGGAGCAGCUAAAGUCAGAGGUCAAUGCAGGGCAAUCAGCUAAACCAACCGAAUAAUCUUUGUAGGUCUUGCAAUCGAGCACCCACUGGAGAAUGCAGAAGAGAAGUGGGAUUGUGUUUCCGAUGCAGUAAAUCCGGUCAUUACAUUAGAGAAUGCCCAUUACUAUUGGAGGAUAACAAGAAGCCCAACCCACCUCAGAGAUCCAGAUCAUCGACACGAGACAACACUCAAAGUAAUAGUGUGCCAGCUUGAGUGUUUGCACUAACUCCUGGAGAAGCCGAGGAAAACAUUGAUCAGAAAAGGUCUAUCUGGACCAGUAACCAAUCCAUCAGCUGCUGAAAAACACGAUUGCAGUGUUCCUCAACUGCAAGUAUUCAGUCUUUCCAGCAUCACAGAGGCCACAAAAAAUUUCUCAAUUGCAAAAAAGAUUGGAGAAGGUGGUUUUGGCUCUAUCUACAAGGACAAGUUACCUAGAGAACAGGAAAUAGCUGUGAAGAGACUGUCCAAAACUUCUACUCGAGGACAUGAAGAGUUCACUAAUGAGGUCACUCUUACCGCUAGACUUCAACAUGUAAAUCUAGUUAGAGUGAUAGGGUUCUGCAUUGAGAAUGAUGAAAAGAUGCUAAUCUAUGAAUACAUGCCAAACAAAAGCUUGAAUUUCUACCUCUUUGGUAUGUCUUCCUUUCUUUUGUUUUUAAUUCUCUUUUAUGUUUCCAUGACUCAUUUAGCUUUCCUAUUUCAUGAUCAUAAACGAGUUGAAUACUCAGUGAAUUCAGUAAAAGGUUGUAAAAAAAAGGUUGUAUGUCUAUCAUUUGCCUUCAGUAAGAUAUCCUUGUUUGAUACCACUCUUAGCCAAACUGA
Juglans microcarpa x Juglans regia is the source of this 2066-nucleotide long non-coding RNA. RefSeq lists it as uncharacterized. NCBI's taxonomy places the organism in Eukaryota, Viridiplantae, Streptophyta, Magnoliopsida, Fagales, Juglandaceae. The record is from RefSeq and is a predicted model, not a curated record. The transcript has 9 exons.